Molecule: ribosomal RNA, 1726 nt
Filed under: marine metagenome
Description: bacterial LSU rRNA
Rfam family: Bacterial large subunit ribosomal RNA
Source: RNAcentral
AGUUAUCCGUAUGUAGCAAGGUUAAGGAGUAAUUCCGUAUCCGCAGCGAAAGCGAGUUUUAAUAGAGCGUCUAGUUGCAUGCGAUAGACCCGAAGCCAAGUGAUCUAUCCAUGGGCAGGGUGAAGCGAAGGUAAGACUUCGUGAAGGCCCGAACCCACUGAUGUUGCAAAAUCAGGGGAUGACCUGUGGAUAGGGGUGAAAGGCCAAUCAAACUUGGUGAUAGCUGGUUCUCUCCGAAAUGUCUUUAGGGACAGCGUUAUAUGUUGCGCUUUGGAGGUAGAGCACUGAUUGGGCUAGGGGGCCAACAAGCUUACUGAACUCAGUCAAACUCCGAAUGCCAAAGUGUUUAAAUAUAGCAGUGAGCCUAUGGGGGAUAAGCUCCAUAGACGAGAGGGAAACAACCCAGAUCAUCAGCUAAGGCCCCUAAAUGUAUAUUAAGUGUGAAACGAUGUGAGAGUGUUCAGACAGCCAGGAGGUUGGCUUAGAAGCAGCCAUUCCUUUAAAGAGUGCGUAACAGCUCACUGGUCGAAUGUUCUCGCGCGGAAGAUGUAACGGGGCUAAAUAUACUGCCGAAGCUAUGGGAUUUUAUUAAUUCUGAUUUCGAUCCAGAAGAUAAAAUCGGUAGGAGAGCGUUGUAUGGACAGCGAAGCGACAACGUGAGUUAGUCGUGGAGACCAUACAAGUGAGAAUGUUGGCAUGAGUAGCGAAGGAAGAGUGAGAAUCUCUUCCGCCGAAUGUCCAAGGGUUCCUGGGGAAGGUUCGUCCGCCCAGGGUUAGUCGGGACCUAAGGCGAGGUCGAGAGACGUAGUCGAUGGAUAACAGAUUGAUAUUUCUGUACCACUAAUUAAGCGCCCAAACCGAAUAUAUGUUGCUAAGGAAAGCCCUUCGGGGCCUACCGACCCACAUAUUACUAGGUUAGCAAUGGAGCGACGGAGAAGGAUAGAUGAGCCCAGGUGAUGGUUAUCCUGGGGUAAAUGUGUAGGAAGACUGAUAGGUAAAUCCGUUAGUCACAUAUUCUGAGACAUGAUGCCGAGCCGCUUUUAGGCGAAGUCAUUGAUUCCAUACUUCCAAGAAAAACUUCUAGUUAGUUUUUUUAGUGCCCGUACCCCAAACCGACACAGGUGGACAAGUAGAGAAUACUAAGGCGAGCGAGAUAACUCUGGUUAAGGAACUCGGCAAAAUAGUUCCGUAACUUCGGGAGAAGGAACGCCCAAGUAAAGUGAUUAAUUAACUUUAUGAGCUUGAACGGGCCGCAGUGAUCAGACUCAAGCGACUGUUUAUCAAAAACACAGGAGGGUGCAAAGUUCUAAUACAACGUAUACCCUCUGACACCUGCCCGGUGCUGGAAGGUUAAGUGGAGAGGUUAGCUUCGGCGAAGCUUUGAAAUUAAGCCCCAGUAAACGGCGGCCGUAACUAUAACGGUCCUAAGGUAGCGAAAUUCCUUGUCGGGUAAGUUCCGACCUGCACGAAUGGUGUAACGAUUUGAGUACUGUCUCAACCAGAGACUCGGCGAAAUUGCAAUGUGAGUAAAGAUGCUCACUAUGCGCGACAGGACGGAAAGACCCCGGAACCUUUACUGCAACUUGAUAUUGAAGUUUGGUGUGCAGUAUGCAGGAUAAGUGGGAGACUAUGAAAUAGCGGCGCUAGUCGUUAUGGAGUCAUCCUUGAGAUACCACUUUCUUCAUAUUGAGCUUCUAACCUAGAUCCGUUAUCCGGAUCAGGGACA